UACAGAGGAGCCAAGCGUUGUCCGGAUUGACUGGGCGUAAAGCGCACGCAGGCGGUCGCGCGCGUGGGGUGUGAAAUCUGGCCGCUUAACGGCCAGGCGCCAUCCCAUACGGCACGACUGGAGUGAUGCAGAGGUCGAUGGAAUUGCCGGUGUAGUGGUGAAAUGCGUAGAUAUCAGGAAGAACACCGGUGGCGAAAGCGCUCUGCUAGGCCGCAACUGACACUGAGGGACGAAAGCUAGGGGAGCGAAUGGG
Molecule: ribosomal RNA, 253 nt
Filed under: uncultured bacterium
Lineage: Bacteria
Description: partial 16S ribosomal RNA
Rfam family: Bacterial small subunit ribosomal RNA
Source: RNAcentral